GACGAACGCUGGCGGCGUGCUUAACACAUGCAAGUCGAACGGAAAGGCCCUGCUUUUGUGGGGUGCUCGAGUGGCGAACGGGUGAGUAACACGUGAGUAACCUGCCCUUGACUUUGGGAUAACUUCAGGAAACUGGGGCUAAUACCGGAUAGGAGCUCCUGCUGCAUGGUGGGGGUUGGAAAGUUUCGGCGGUUGGGGAUGGACUCGCGGCUUAUCAGCUUGUUGGUGGGGUAGUGGCUUACCAAGGCUUUGACGGGUAGCCGGCCUGAGAGGGUGACCGGCCACAAUGGGACUGAGAUACGGACCAGACUCCUACGGGAGGCAGCAGGGGGGAAUAUUGCACAAUGGGCGGAAGCCUGAUGCAGCAACGCCGCGUGCGGGAUGACGGCCUUCGGGUUGUAAACCGCUUUCGCAUGUGACGAAGCGUGAGUGACGGUAAUGGGUAAAGAAGCACCGGCUAACUACGUG
This 468-nucleotide ribosomal RNA is filed under the name uncultured bacterium. Its description in RNAcentral is "partial 16S ribosomal RNA". It matches the Rfam family "Bacterial small subunit ribosomal RNA", at positions 28 to 507 of the family's 1533-position model. The record is from RNAcentral.